GUCCUAUUGAUUUUUAUUUUAGGUCUAAUCUGCCCAAUGAAGGUUUGAAUGGCCGCAGUAUUUUGACUGUGCAAAGGUAGCAUAAUCAUUAGUUUUUUAAUUGAAAGCUAGAAUGAAUGAUUGAAUGAAAAAUUAACUGUUUCAAAUUAAAUAAUUGAAUUUUAUUUUUAAGUAAAAAAGCUUAAAUAAUUUUAAAAGACGAGAAGACCCUAUAGAGUUUAAUAAAAAUAUAAUAAUUAAUUUUUUAGUAUUAAUAUAUUAAUUUAUGUAUUUUAUUUAAUUGGGGUGAUUAAAAAAUUUAAUAAACUUUUUUUAAAAAAAAACAUUAAUUUUUGAGUUAUUGAUCCAAUAUUAUUGAUUAAAAGAAUAAAUUACCUUAGGGAUAACAGCGUAAUUUUUCUUUAGAGUUCAUAUUAAAAGAAAAGAUUGCGACCUCGAUGUUGGAUUAAAAUUAAUUAUUGGUGUAGAAGCUAAUAUAUUAAGUCUGUUCGACUUUUAAAAUUUUACA
Molecule: ribosomal RNA, 508 nt
Filed under: Stilbus nitidus
Lineage: Eukaryota; Metazoa; Arthropoda; Insecta; Coleoptera; Phalacridae
Description: partial 16S ribosomal RNA
Rfam family: Archaeal large subunit ribosomal RNA (bases 382-508)
Source: RNAcentral